This 451-nucleotide ribosomal RNA is filed under the name uncultured bacterium. RNAcentral's name for it is "bacterial SSU rRNA". It matches the Rfam family "Bacterial small subunit ribosomal RNA", at positions 354 to 796 of the family's 1533-position model. The record is from RNAcentral.
GUCGAGAGGCUUCGGCAAUGGGGGAAACCCUGACCGAGCGACGCCGCGUGGGGGAUGAAGGCCCUUGGGUUGUAAACCCCUUUCGACCGGGAAGAAAGAUCUCCGGGUGAACAAUCCGGGGACUUGACGGUACCGGUGGAAGAAGCUCCGGCUAACUCCGUGCCAGCAGCCGCGGUAACACGGGGGGAGCGAACGUUGUUCGGAAUCACUGGGCGUAAAGGGCGUGUAGGCGGUUUGGUAAGUGGGAUGUGAAAGCCCCCGGCUCACCCGGGGAACUGCAUCCCAAACUGCCAGACUUGAGUGCGGGAGAGGAUGGGGGAAUUCCUGGUGUAGCGGUGAAAUGCGUAGAUAUCAGGAGGAACACCGGUGGCGAAGGCGCCCAUCUGGCCCGUUACUGACGCUGAGGCGCGAAAGCUAGGGGAGCAAACGGGAUUAGAAACCCUAGUAGUCC